CUACAUCCAGUCCCCUCAUUUAGAAUAUUUUAAUCCACUAAUUCAAUUACCUUGAAUUACAAAGCUCUGACCCUCCAAAGCCAGUCUUCCCAAACAGCAUGACAACCUGAUAAGGACCUUAAAAGCAUGAAGAUGAUCCUUAUUUUAAUAAAUUAGGAUGAAUUUUAUUUAUUUUAAUUUGGUUUGUAGUAAUUAUUAGUUUGCAUUGAUUUGG
Molecule: long non-coding RNA, 214 nt
Filed under: Cicer arietinum (chickpea)
Lineage: Eukaryota; Viridiplantae; Streptophyta; Magnoliopsida; Fabales; Fabaceae
Description: long non-coding RNA (CARI_LNC003536)
Source: RNAcentral